UCUAUUUUCUAGAGAACCCAAGCUAAAAGAUGCGCCAUCAGGAGUGUCCCGCAGACAGUCGGGAUGGGAUAUUGGAGUUGAGUCCCUCACUGAUUUUGUGGUGAUAAAGACCCAGGGCAUGUGAGGCAUGAGAUGCUGCAGGACCAGGCAGUACCUACACUUGCACAACCCAGAAAUGUGGGAGAUUUAAUGUCUGAGAAGAAAAAGUUUGACAAGGGGAUAUAGCAGGAAGCAGCUGGCCAUUUGAGGAACCCCACAUGGUAAGGAACUACAAGCAGCCUCUAGAAGCUGAGGGCAACCUCCAGCCGACAGCCAGCAAGAAAUUAGAGCCCUCGGUCAUACAUCCAAAAGGACAUGAAUUCUGCUGACAACCACAUGAGUCUGGAAGCAGAUCCUUUCCCAGGUGAGCCUCCAUAUGAGAAAGCAGUCUUGUUCAACACCUUGAUUGCAGCCUUGCAAAGGAUAAGCUAAGUUGUUCCUGACCCAUGGAAACAGGGAGAUAAUAAAUGUGUGUUGCUUUAGGCUGUUAAGUUUGUGGCAAUAUUAUUAAGCAACAAUAGGUAAGUAAUACAGAUUAUAAAAUGGUACAACCACUUUGGGAGAUGGUUCGACAAUUUCUUAAAACAUUAAACAUACACCAACCAUGUGACCCAGAUAUUCCAUACUCAAGAGAAACAUUAGUCGGGAGUUCCCUGGUGGUCAAGUGGUUAGGACUUGGUGCUUUCACUGCCGGGGCCUGGGUUCAAUCCCUGAUCAGGGAACUAAGCCGCAUGGUGUGGCCAAAAAAAAAAAAUCCUGAGAAACAUAAGUCCACAAAAAAGACCCAUACAUAAAUAUUCAUAACAACUUCAUUCAUAACAGCCAAAAAUCAGAAAAAAACAAAUUUCCAUCCGUACAAGAGUAGAUAAAGAAAUUGUGGUAUAUUGAUAUAACAUAAUGAAUUCUACUCAGCAAUAAAAUGGAAUAAACUUUUGAUAGACACAAAACAUGAAUGAAUCUCAAAAACAUUAUGCUAAGCUAAAGAAACCAGACACAAAAGAGUACAAACUGUAUGAUUCCAUUUAUGUGAAGUCCUAGAACAGGCAAACCUAAUCUAUGGUGAAAGAAAUUGAACCAGUAGCUGCCUCUGGGGAUUCAAGGGCAGGCAUUGACUUGAAAAGGACACGAGAUAACCUUCUGCAGUGAUGAACAUGCUCCCUAGCUUGAUGGAUUACGCAGGUGUAUGCAUUUGUCAAAACAUUUUGAACUGUACGCAUAAGAGCUGUGCUUACCACUAUAUGUAAAUUAUACUUUAAUUUGAAAAAAAAAGAACAAAGGACAAUGGAAAUACUUGUUUGGUAAAUGUUAGUGCAUAUGUCUCAAGCCAAAUUACCCCAAGAUGCUUGUAAAGAUAAAGAGAAAAGCAUAGACCAUUUGUCAUGUGGAGUCUGUAAGAACAUAGGGUUCCAGAGGAAAAGGCACCUCUGAUUGGUUCUGCCCUCUCAGUUGAUCUUUGUGCCUGGAGCUUCAUGGACUCAAUCCACCCAAAGAAGAUUACUCUACCCAAUGAAUGCUGUGAACUCUAUAGGCCAUAUUUAAUCAAUAAGUAGUCACAAUAUGACCUAUACACAAACAAGGCUACUGAAAUAACUUUAUCAUCCUUAUCAUGCGGUUACUUCAAACAAGAUCUGACUUUCGGCUUCCCUGGUGGUGCAGUGGUUGCGCGUCCGCCUGCCGAUGCAGGGGAACCGGGUUCGCGCCCCGGUCUGGGAGGAUCCCACGUGCCGCGGAGAGGCUGGGCCCGUGAGCCAUGGCCCCUGGGCCUGCGCGUCCGGAGCCUGUGCUCCGCAACGGGAGAGGCCGCAGCAGGGGGAGGCCCGCAUACCACAAAAAAAAAAAAAAAAAAAAAAAAAGAUCUGACUUUCACCCAUUAGCAGAGAUAAUACUUAAUUCAAAAUAAUAUUUGUUGUGGCACUCUGCCCAGCAAUGUAUGGAGAUUAAAUUAUCAAAAGACCUAGGAGGGAAAAACUGUCAAGGACGUCAAAAACAAGAAAAGUCUGAAAAUCUGACAUCAUCUAAGGAGCCUAAGGAGAAAUAACAACUAAAUGUAAUUUCAUAUCCUGGAUGGGAUCUUGGAACAGAAGGACAUUUGGUUAAAAACCAAGGAAGUCUAGAGACUUCCCUAGCGGUCCAGUGGUUAAGACCUUGUCCUUCCAAUGAAGGGGGUGCAGGUUCGAUCCCGGGUCAGGGAGCAAGAUCCCACAUGCUGUGCAGCAUGGUGAAAAGAUUUAAAAAAAAAACCCAAGGAAGCCUAAAUAAAAUAUGGACUUUAUUAAUAAUAAUAAUCAGAAAAUAUUGGUUCAUUAAUUGCAGAAAAUGUCCUAUACUAAUGUAAGAUGUUAAUAAUAGGAGAAAUUGUGUG
Molecule: long non-coding RNA, 2401 nt
Organism: Physeter macrocephalus (sperm whale)
Lineage: Eukaryota; Metazoa; Chordata; Mammalia; Artiodactyla; Physeteridae
Exons: 3
Source: RefSeq, a predicted model, not a curated record